Molecule: transfer RNA, 84 nt
Filed under: Chattonella marina
Lineage: Eukaryota; Raphidophyceae; Chattonellales; Chattonellaceae
Description: tRNA-Tyr
Rfam family: tRNA
About the family: Transfer RNA (tRNA) molecules are approximately 80 nucleotides in length. Their secondary structure includes four short double-helical elements and three loops (D, anti-codon, and T loops).
Source: RNAcentral
GAAGGAGUGACUGAGUGGUUAAAAGUGGCAGAUUGUAAAUCUGUUGGAAAGUUUCCUACGUAGGUUCGAAUCCUACUUCCUUCA